Molecule: non-coding RNA, 82 nt
Filed under: uncultured Ruminococcus sp.
Lineage: Bacteria; Bacillati; Bacillota; Clostridia; Eubacteriales; Oscillospiraceae
Description: Cyclic di-GMP-I riboswitch
Rfam family: c-di-GMP-I riboswitch aptamer
About the family: GEMM was predicted in a large-scale screen for bacterial structured RNA regulatory elements. Genes associated with GEMM are involved in a diverse array of functions, including chemotaxis regulation, signal transduction, secretion and chitin.
Source: RNAcentral
UUAAAAUGGCAAACCUGUCGAAAGGCAGGGGCGCAAAGCCAAGGUAUCUGUAGCGUUUAAUUAACGUAUGAUAGACCAGCCG